UUUAACCAGGUUUUCCGAAGGAAAAAACUGGUUAUUAGAUUGGCGAAUGCGGGCGGGCUGGCUGGCUGGCGGGCUGGCGGAAUAAGCUUGUCCGGGCCAUAACUAUGUCGUUCAUUGUCAGAUUUUAAAAUCAUUUGGCACAUUUGUUCACCAUCAUUGGACGGUGUGUCACGCGAAAUAAUUACGUCGAUAUCUCCAAGGUCAAGGUCACACUUUGAGUUCAAAGGUCAAAAAUGGCCAUAAAUGAGCUUGUCCUGGCCAUAACUAUGUCAUUCAUUGUGAGAUUUUAAAAUCAUUUGGCACAUUUGUUCACCAUCAUGGGACGGUGUGUCCCACGAAAGAAUCACGUCAAUAUCUCCAAUGUCAAGGUCGCCACGACUAAAAAUAGAUUUAAAAAAAAAAAAAAAAAACUUACAAAGGGGGUUAAUUUUUUUUGGUCAUUUCAAAAGUU
This is a long non-coding RNA of Dreissena polymorpha, 451 nucleotides long. RefSeq lists it as uncharacterized. The transcript has 2 exons. Lineage: Eukaryota; Metazoa; Mollusca; Bivalvia; Myida; Dreissenidae. The record is from RefSeq and is a predicted model, not a curated record.